Molecule: long non-coding RNA, 1610 nt
Filed under: Anas platyrhynchos platyrhynchos (common mallard)
Lineage: Eukaryota; Metazoa; Chordata; Aves; Anseriformes; Anatidae
Description: lncRNA (ENSAPLG00000026505.1)
Source: RNAcentral
AAGAUACACAUAGAAGAAUCGAAUCCUAUUCUCAGGUGCUAAAGAAGCAUUCCUGUAGAAACAGGAUUCUCUUCUACCUCUUGUCAGCCGUAAGAGGGCCACCUGUGAGGUUACUCUCUAUGCAUCUCACUGCAAGAAACCAAAAAAAAAUUCCACUCAGAGCAGUGGAGUUAAAUCUCACACGCUUGUUUUCCUAUUUUGAAAUUUGCUAGUACUCCUUACAGAAUUUAGCUUAAGAAAUUCAAUCUGAAUACACUGCUUUAGCCAGCUUUUCCAAAUCUAGAUCUCCUUAGAAUCCACAGCAUUGACUGCUUUGGGACAUUCCAGGCUUCUAAGGACAAAAAACACCCACGCACUUUUUUGACCUCCCUGGACUCUAAAAUUACAGUACUUGCCAGCAUCUACGGCCAGAACAUUUCUAAAAAUACUGGGUAUUUUCAGAAAAACCUUUUUUUCCAAUUAAAAAUAGUUUAAUUGUACUUAUUAAGUGGUGCUUGUUUUGUCUUUAUCUCAUCCUUUCUUCAUUUGUAUUUGUGUAAAUGCGUUAUAAUAUGCUUAUCAGUACAACAAUACAGUUAUACAAAUAAAAACAGGGGAAAAAACAUAUUGGGAGGGGGGGAGGCUGGUCAACUUCUGGGGGUUUUAUUUACAUGGACCCAAGGCAGUGGGGACACCACUGCUCCAGCAGGCAAAGCCUCCCCUGCUGGGCCUCCGCCACCCAGCUCUCCCCACAGCCCCUCUGAGGUUCCCCCCUCCUGCCUUCCCCCCAGGCCCCCUGCCCUCAGUGCGGGCAUUUCAGAGGGCUUCACUGAGCGCUGCCUCCCGAAGCACGUGGCUGCGGCUGUAAGGGGAGGGAUUUUUCGGUUGUUUGUUUUUUAUUCUCCACCCCCAGCUCUCCCGAGGGCCGCUCCGGCGCAGCCCCCAGCCGGCCCCACACACACACGGGCAGCGCGGGGACGAGGCCCGCCGGGGGAGGCCGGUCCCGGGGCUGCCCGUGCCGCUGCUGCCCAGCUGAGCCCCUCCGGCGGCGGGCAGGGCGAGGAGGAGGAGGAGGAGGAGAGGAAGGCCGCUGCCCUCCCUACUGACCUGCCGGCGGCAGCGCCCCGGGCCGGCCGCGCCGCGAGCCCUCAGCCCCCUCGGCCGCCGCCAGCUCCCUCACAGGACCGCAUCACCGCGGCCCGAGCGCGCUCGGAUCCCUCCGCACCUCACCUCAGAGCGGCCCAUUCCCCAAAGCCACCCCUAAAAGAGCCGCAGCCGGCCCAGGAGCGCUCCCGCUGCCCGCACCUCGUCCUCCCGCCGCGGCCCUUCCCUUCGCCCCCAGCUCGGGGCCGAACCUCCCCCACCGCGCCGGGACUACUUUUCUCACGCAGGCGGAAGCACACAGCUUCACUGCGCGCGCAUCCUCGCCGUGCGAUUUUAAAGGCUCGUGCGGCGCGCCGAGCGCGGGGCACGCUGGGACUUGUAGUCCUCCCCGGGGGCCUCCGCCGGCGGGCCGGGGGUACCUCGCGGCGGCGCCCCGCCCCCUCGCCCCUCCGCAGCCAAUCGGCGCCCGCCCUGUGCGGAGAGGCUCCGCCCCCCCGGGCCGCGGUGGGCGGGGCCGUGCCGCGGCC